Molecule: ribosomal RNA, 1050 nt
Filed under: Biston falcata
Lineage: Eukaryota; Metazoa; Arthropoda; Insecta; Lepidoptera; Geometridae
Description: partial 16S ribosomal RNA
Source: RNAcentral
AUUAAUAAUUAAUAUAUUUAAUAAAAAUAAUUUUAAUUUAAUAAAUAUUUUAAUGGGGGUUAAAGUAUUUUUUAAAGAAAAAAUUUUUAAAUUUAUAGUUAAUUAGUAUUGUGAAAGAAUUUUGAAAUAUUAUGAAAAAUAAAAUUUUUAGAAAGUAAUUUUUAUUUAUUGUAUCUUGUGUAUCAGAGUUUAUUAAAAAUUUUUAAUUUAUAAAUUAAUUUCUCGAAUUUAAAAGAGUUAAAUAAUUAUUAAAGUUAUUGUAGCAAAAUUAUUUUAAAUAAUUAUUUAGAAAUGAAAUGUUAAUCGUUUUUAAAUAUAUCUAGUUUUUAUAGAAAAAAAUUUAAUUUUAAAUUUAAAAAUUAUUUAAUUAAUUUAUUAAUUAAAUAAUUAUUUAAAUUUUAUAAUUUAAGGGAUAAGCUUUAAAUUAAAUUUUUAUAAUAUUAAAUUUUUAUUUUGAAAAUUUUAUAAUUUAUAUUGUUAAUAAAUUUUAUUUUGUUAUAAAUAAUUUCAUUUUUUUUAAAAUUUAAAUUUUAUUUAAUUUUUUAUAUAAAAUUUAUUUAUAAUUAUAUAAAGUUAAUUAUAAUGAUAAAAUUAGUAUAUUAUUUAAUAUUAAAUUAAAAUUAAUUUUUGAUUAAUAACUAAAUUAAUUAAAAGGAAUUCGGCAAAUAUUUAUUUUCACUUGUUUAUCAAAAACAUGUCUUUUUGUUAUUUAAUUUAAAGUCUAAUCUGCCCACUGAUUUAUAAAAAUUGAAGGGCUGCAGUAUAUUGACUGUACAAAGGUAGCAUAAUCAUUAGUCUCUUAAUUGGUGACUUGUAUGAAAGAUUGGAUGAAAAAUAUACUGUCUCUUAAUUAAUAUAUAGAAUUUAAUUUUUUAUUUAAAAAGUUACAACAAUUUAAAAAGACGAGAAGACCCUAUAGAGUUUAAUAAAUUAUUUUAUCAAAGUUUUAUUUAUAUUUACUAAUAAUUUUAUAAAUUUAUUUAUUUUGUUGGGGUGAUAAAAAAAUAAAUUUAACUUUUUUUAAGUAAUUUACAUGAAUAAGUGAUUAAU